CUUAGCCCACCAUCAAAAGAAGGCUAGUGGGAUGCAUGUUAUUUCUGGACCAUAUCUUUCACAUCCCUCCAGCAGAUAAACACCCAGUGAUUCCUUGUCUCCAGCUGAUGGGUUCCUAGGAGGAUUGACAGGAGGUCAAAGCCCGAGAUGGACUGUGCAAGCAAAGAUCAAGAGAGCUGCUGUAGUAGUGCUAAGAGCUCAGAGAGAGAAAAAGCAAUAAAAAUGGAGUGUUUGCUGAAGAAGGUGCUAGUAGAAAACCAACAGUUGAAAAAUGCUGUUGUCCUCCUGAAGCAGCAGAAUAAGGAAAAAGACAAUGUGGAUGACUGCAAGAGGUCAGUGUCAG
This is a long non-coding RNA of Ahaetulla prasina, 343 nucleotides long. RefSeq lists it as uncharacterized. NCBI's taxonomy places the organism in Eukaryota, Metazoa, Chordata, Lepidosauria, Squamata, Colubridae. The record is from RefSeq and is a predicted model, not a curated record. The transcript has 6 exons.